This 86-nucleotide small RNA is filed under the name Streptococcus mutans. RNAcentral describes it as "RNA anti-toxin A". It matches the Rfam family "RNA anti-toxin A". The record is from RNAcentral. Lineage: Bacteria; Bacillati; Bacillota; Bacilli; Lactobacillales; Streptococcaceae.
UAAUGAGAAUAGAAAAAGGGCGUUGCUAGUAACAACACCCCGAAAUGUAGAGCCGUUUAAGACGGUGGCUAAGUUUAGAAUUAGUA